RNAcentral lists this long non-coding RNA (1894 nucleotides) under Paramuricea clavata. The record is from RNAcentral. Lineage: Eukaryota; Metazoa; Cnidaria; Anthozoa; Malacalcyonacea; Plexauridae.
CACUCAUUGAGUGUGAGUGAGCUUUUAGAAUACGGGCGUAAGUAUAGAACCAUUGUUACGGCUGUUUGAAGGUCCGUUUACACUUGCAAUUUUUUUGCUGCGAUUUCUAAUGUGAUUUUCUUCUUCCGAUGCAUGUGAUCGAGUGGAUGAGUAGUGAAUAGGAAGGUAUAUGAACCUUAUGUAAACAUUUAGUAACUCAUCUACUCGUCUAAGUGUAGACUCGGACCUUAAGAAACGUGUGGUUGACCCAAUAGACAAUUGAAAUCAUAUACAUCAAUUGUGUUAAGUAUCAAUUAUAGAUGUGAUGACUCCUUUAUCCAAACAGUCAUAACCGAUUCACUUGGCUCUUCUACAGUAGACCAAUUUCGAAAAUCUUGGUGUCAAAGUACAUCUCUUAGAUUGAAUUAUCGAUACUUACUAAUAAUUCAAACGGUUUCAUAGUGAAAUCAAUUUAGGCCACGGUCAAAUGUCGAAAUUUUCAUGUGCCGAACCUAAUGCAAAUGAAGUGAAACAAAGAACUUAGCUCAUUAACAUUAGGUUCGGCACAUGAAAAAUUCGACGUUUGACCCUGGCUUUAGACACAAAUGAAAGCGAUAUGAAACUUAUUAAGACGAGAAUCUUUUGUAUCAAGUGGCAAAAUUAAGAAGUAUGUUUAACGCUUUAUCUGUAAAAUAAUGAUGAUACGCCAAAGGGCAAAGAGAAAAUGAUGUCUGAAGUUCAGUAUGGUUUGUAUAAAUAUGGUGUCAAUUUUACAGCAUCAAUGAUAGUUGUAUUUAAAUUGACAAUAUUUAACUAUUAUUUUGUGUUUCUCAACCGCCAGAUACACUUAAAAAGGUUGCUAACUGUGUAAACAUAUUUCAACUAGUGUAGUAGUGAAAAUGAUGAUGGUAUCGAAACGUCGAUCGUUGUCUAAUAAAUGUAAUAUCGCGCUUUCACACCUGUUUAAUAAUUACAGAUUUACAGUCUGUAAUUAUUAUACAGGGUGUAUUUACAGUACAAUUUGUAAAUAUAAUAUUCUCCGUCGUGAAGUAAAGUAAUUUAAUAGACAUACGUAUAGUUGUUGUUUUUCAUCAAAGUUAUCCACUUCAGAAUUCAUUCCGUUGCUAAUUGUCUAAAGGCACACAUUGGAUAUAAUUACAGUAUUGUAUGGAAAUAAAACCGCAUUAAUUUGUUCAAGCCAUUUUAAAUUGUUUUUGAAAUCCGGCCAACAUUUCAUGCCUUGUGUAGACACUAAGUAUGCGGAAUAUGAAGGAAAAGAAAUGAAGAAAUAUAACAUUGACCGAAGCCUGACCCUAAAAUCCUUGUAUACCCUAAGUGAAGUCACUGAACCUUCUUUAAUUAAGGUUUCAGUUAAUGUCUUUUCUUUUCUUUCAUUUGAAUAUUUAAUGUCUACAGGACUCAGAUGGAGCUGCAUGUAUCCUUUCGAAUCACAAUCAGCCAAUUUUUAAGUCGGAAUAUUAUUGAGAUGAGAUUUUAAAAUCUGUCAGAAUCUCUGUAAACCGGAUCACGACCUGUUUAAAUUAGCUACAUUAUCUGAUCAAGCAAAUGUAUUUUCCAAUGUAACGUAAAAGAUAUCCCACCUCUCCUCUCAUGAGUUUUAGGGGCUGUUUAUAUGGAAGUGAGCCAGCCUGAGUACCCGAACUGGCUGGCAUCCCCGAGAAGAACUCACUGGCUCGCACCACGCGUUUACAUGAAACUUUAUACAUGAAGGGCUGGCUCUUCUUGUUCUAAUUUUUUUGCGUAAACAACUCCAUAUAUGGAAGUUGGUUCCCUAUAUGGGAGUUGUUUGUGCAUUCUGAAUUAUUCUAAUUAUUUGCGCAUGCGUAUGUGCUAAAUUUCUCCUAUUGCGUUUAUAUGGAAAACUACCCAGCCCGUUUACCCGAGGUCUCGGGUC